RNAcentral lists this ribosomal RNA (468 nucleotides) under uncultured bacterium. RNAcentral describes it as "partial 16S ribosomal RNA". It matches the Rfam family "Bacterial small subunit ribosomal RNA", at positions 28 to 507 of the family's 1533-position model. The record is from RNAcentral.
GACGAACGCUGGCGGCGUGCUUAACACAUGCAAGUCGAACGGAAAGGCCCUGCUUUUGUGGGGUGCUCGAGUGGCGAACGGGUGAGUAACACGUGAGUAACCUGCCCUUGACUUUGGGAUAACUUCAGGGAACUGGGGCUAAUACCGGAUAGGAGCUCCUGCUGCAUGGUGGGGGUUGGAAAGUUUUGGGGGUUGGGGAUGGUCUCGCGGCUUCUCAGCUUUGUUGUGGGGUAGUGGCUUACCAGGGCUUUGACGGGUAGCCGGCGUGAGAGGGUGAGCGGCCACAUUGGGUCAGAGAUAGGGCACAGACCCAUACGGGGGGCAGCAGGGGGGUAUAGUGCACAAUGGGCAGGAGCGUGGUGCAGCAACGGCGCGUGGGGUAUGACGGCUUGCGGUGUGUACACCGCUUUCGCCUGUGACGAAGCGUGAGUGACGGUAAUGGGAAAAGAAGCACCGGCUAACUACGUG